ACCAGACUCCUACGGGAGGCAGCAGUGGGGAAUAUUGCACAAUGGGGGAAACCCUGAUGCAGCGACGCCGCGUGAGUGAAGAAGUAUUUCGGUAUGUAAAGCUCUAUCAGCAGGGAAGAUAAUGACGGUACCUGACUAAGAAGCCCCGGCUAACUACGUGCCAGCAGCCGCGGUAAUACGUAGGGGGCAAGCGUUAUCCGGAUUUACUGGGUGUAAAGGGUGCGCAGGUGGCAGGGCAAGUCAGAUGUGAAAGCCCGGGGCUCAACCCCGGUAUUGCAUUUGAAACUGUCCGGCUAGAGUGCAGGAGAGGUAAGCGGAAUUCCUAGUGUAGCGGUGAAAUGCGUAGAUAUUAGGAGGAACACCAGUGGCGAAGGCGGCUUACUGGACUGUAACUGACACUGAGGCACGAAAGCGUGGGGAGCAAACAGGAUUAGAUACCCGUGUAC
RNAcentral lists this ribosomal RNA (446 nucleotides) under uncultured bacterium. Its description in RNAcentral is "bacterial SSU rRNA". It matches the Rfam family "Bacterial small subunit ribosomal RNA", at positions 330 to 793 of the family's 1533-position model. The record is from RNAcentral.